Molecule: ribosomal RNA, 68 nt
Filed under: Anaerolineales bacterium
Lineage: Bacteria; Bacillati; Chloroflexota; Anaerolineae; Anaerolineales
Description: partial 23S ribosomal RNA
Source: RNAcentral
AUAGGCAGCAUGUGUAAGCGCAGCAAUGCGUUCAGCUAAGCUGUACUAAUGGCCGAGGGCUUAAUCAC